CAUGGAGACAGCCAGCUAGCAACAGGCUCAGACCAUUCCACAGGAAACAGUAUUUGGUUGAGUCUGAACUCAUCUUAUAUUUGAAGAUGCUGGUGUGGAAGAUUAUAGUGAGGUUCACCUUCAAAUUUUAAGAUUUGAAGAAACAUAUGGAACACAAGCUAAAACAAAUGUAAAUGGAGGUCCUUGAGAAGCAGUCCUUUGACUUUCAGUACAUCAUAAACAGAAGGCAGCAGUGGAAAUUUUAUCAGGAGAAAUUGCACAAGCAGGGACUGGAAUGGUGUGCUGACCAGGAAGACCGCUUUCUUUGGGAAGCUGGAGAAGCAGUCCCUGACAGCUCCAAGGCUACUUGUAGCCAAACUAUUCCAAGAUCAUAAAGGAAAAGAAGUCCUCUCUCCCAGAAUUGGUUUCUUCUAAGGUCCAGAAGGCCCUUUUGAUUGGCCAAGCUUGGCUUGUGUGCCGACUCCUGUGGCCAGAGAAGUGGAGUCUUUAACCAGAGAAGGGAUAUCACACAGGUAUGGCCACCAGAGAAUUGUUGGGAGGCAGUCAAGUGCCCAGUGUGACCGGUGCAGAUUUGAAGAGCUAGGAGGCCACAGUAUGUGAUGUGGGAUUUAUUCAUUGGUUUUCAUUUCAGAUAUUUCAAAUGAAAUAAACUUCAGUUAGUUUUGUGAAUCUCAGUGUUGCAUGGGGCUUAGUAGGAGAAGCAAUUCCACAUAUGACUCAGUGCCUGCAUUCGGGGAGCUUAGAAUGUAAUGAUAGAGAUAAAGAGGCACCUGAAGUCCCAGCUGUAAACAAUACAACGGUUUUAGGGAAAGAGCUGAAAUCCUAAAGCUGAUGAAUAUGGAACUUGAAGGGUUACAUUGAUAA
Non-coding RNA from Leptonychotes weddellii (Weddell seal), 864 nucleotides. The record is from RefSeq and is a predicted model, not a curated record. Lineage: Eukaryota; Metazoa; Chordata; Mammalia; Carnivora; Phocidae.